This 438-nucleotide ribosomal RNA is filed under the name uncultured bacterium. RNAcentral describes it as "bacterial SSU rRNA". It matches the Rfam family "Bacterial small subunit ribosomal RNA", at positions 331 to 765 of the family's 1533-position model. The record is from RNAcentral.
CCAGACUCCUACGGGAGGCAGCAGUGAGGAAUAUUGGUCAAUGGACGCAAGUCUGAACCAGCCAAGUCGCGUGCAGGAUGACGGCCCUCCGGGUUGUAAACUCCUUUUAGUUGGGAAUAAAAUGGGGCUCGUGAGCCCCGAAUUGUAUGUACCAUCAGAAAAAGGACCGGCUAAUUCCGUGCCAGCAGCCGCGGUAAUACGGAGGAUGCGAGCGUUAUCCGGGUUUCUUGGGUUUAAAGGGUGCGUAGGCGGAAUGCAAAGCCAGCGGUAAAAUCGCGGGGCUCAACCCCGCGCCGCCGUUGAAACUGGCGUUCUUGAGUGGGCGAGAAGUAUGCGGAAUGCGUGGUGUAGCGGUGAAAUGCAUAGAUAUCACGCAGAACUCCGAUUGCGAAGGCAGCAUACCGGCGCCCAACUGACGCUGAAGCACGAAAGCGUGGG